RNAcentral lists this non-coding RNA (25 nucleotides) under Cricetulus griseus (Chinese hamster). The record is from RNAcentral. Lineage: Eukaryota; Metazoa; Chordata; Mammalia; Rodentia; Cricetidae.
AGGACAGGCUCAAAAGCUACACAGA